Molecule: ribosomal RNA, 459 nt
Filed under: Liophloeus gibbus
Lineage: Eukaryota; Metazoa; Arthropoda; Insecta; Coleoptera; Curculionidae
Description: partial large subunit ribosomal RNA
Rfam family: Eukaryotic large subunit ribosomal RNA
Source: RNAcentral
UGAUAGUGCAGCCCUAAGUGGGUGGUAAACUCCAUCUAAGGCUAAAUAUGACCACGAGACCGAUAGCGAACAAGUACCGUGAGGGAAAGUUGAAAAGCACUUUGAAGAGAGAGUUCAAGAGUACGUGAAACCGUUUAGGGGUAAACCUGAGAAACCCGAAAGGUCGAAGGGAGAAAUUCAUUCGCGUUUCGCAGUCGGCGUGAGGCGAUCGAGUGACGGAAUGCGUCUUCGGAUGUUUUCUGCACCUUUYGUUUUUCGAUCCGAUAGCGAACGCGUGCACUUUUCUCCUGGUAGGACGUCGCGAUCCGUUGGGUGUCGGUCUACGGCUCACGGUGGAGMCCGGAUGUACGGCUUGCCGUCACGUCCGGACCCGUGUGUCCCGGCUGACUCGCUCGACGGUAUACGAAAGGUUUAAGGCCGCUCUCGCGAGCGUUCGGCUCGUCGCAAGCGCGUUAAAUG